UGCCCCGCAAGCCAGGGAGCGGUGCCAUUGCUCCAGGAAGUCGCCUGGCCUGAGACUUUCCUAAAUUCUACCCAGACUCAGCGCCCAGAGCCUGGGAUCCUGUGAAUAAAAUGGCGCAGACGUGCUUGUGCGGCUUUCCUGCUGGAGUCCAUGAGCGUCUCGAGGAUUUGGGCAUGUGUGUUCAUGUCAUGUCACAAUCUGUUCAGAGUACUGUCAUCAGCAACAGAGCAUGGCUCAGCACGCGGGCAAAACUGCACCAACCACGAUGCAUGGACACAGCACCCAUCUAGCCCUGACCUGGUGGUUUGUUUGUGUCCCCUUGCUCUGCCCUACCCAAGGAGGAUGGGGGGUUCAGUGUGUAAAAAAAUAA
RNAcentral lists this long non-coding RNA (370 nucleotides) under Homo sapiens (human). RNAcentral describes it as "HSALNT0355326". Lineage: Eukaryota; Metazoa; Chordata; Mammalia; Primates; Hominidae. The record is from RNAcentral.